This 967-nucleotide unclassified non-coding RNA is filed under the name Hevea brasiliensis (rubber tree). Lineage: Eukaryota; Viridiplantae; Streptophyta; Magnoliopsida; Malpighiales; Euphorbiaceae. The record is from RNAcentral.
GCCUGAGAUGGAGCAUUAUGGCUGCAUGGUUGAUCUAUUGGGUCGAGCUGGUUUAGUAUCUGAGGCUAUUGAAAUGAUUGAGAACAAAGUUGUCUCGCCAAACCCAGUAUUGUGGGCAACUCUUCUUUGUGCUUGUAGGAUUCAUGGAUUAAUUGAAUUGGGUGAAAAUAUAGGGAAUAAAUUGAUAGAAUUGGAUCCAUCAUAUGAUGGACAUUAUGUACAACUAGCUAAUAUUUAUGCCAAGUCUAGGAAAUGGGAUGAGGUAAUAAGAGUUCGAAGAUUGAUGGCUGAAAGGAACACCAAUAAAAUUGCAGGUUGGAGCUUGAUUGAAACCCAGGGAAGAGUCCACCAAUUUGUCGCUGGAGACAGAAAACAUGACUGUUCACUAGAGAUACACAAAAUGCUUGAAGUAAUAGAAACUCGUGUAGCUGAAGCUGGCUAUGUUCCUAAUCUAUCCUCAGUUUUACAUGACAUUGGGGAGGAAGAGAAAGAGAACGCAAUUAGGGUGCACAGUGAGAGGUUGGCAAUUGCUUUUGGUUUUUUAGUAAUAGGAGCUGGGGAUUGCAUUCGAAUUGUAAAGAACCUGAGGGUUUGUACAGAUUGUCACGAGGUGAGCAAGAUCAUAUCUAGAGUGUUUGAGAGGGAGAUCAUAGUGAGAGAUGGGAGCAGAUUUCAUCAUUUUAAGGAGGGGAAAUGUUCAUGCCUUGAUUAUUGGUAGAAUAGACAUAUACAAUCCAUUCAUUAGAGUUUUUGUUCGUCCUUUUGUUCUUUACUAGAAACUUUCAACACAAAGAAGAACCUUUGUAUCAUCUUGUCAGCUUGUGCAUUAUUUUUUCAUUCUUGUAUUAUAGAUUGCUUUUGUUAGUCAUUUUAAUGUAAUGCUAGACGAAUAAUGUCGCGAAUGAGAUUGUUUUGACAUUAUAGUUUGUGUUUCUUUUCAUAUUCACAGCCAUAUAAUUUAUUCCUU